Molecule: long non-coding RNA, 1077 nt
Organism: Armigeres subalbatus
Lineage: Eukaryota; Metazoa; Arthropoda; Insecta; Diptera; Culicidae
Exons: 5
Source: RefSeq, a predicted model, not a curated record
GGACGUGAGUGUCCCGAAGAACCGAUUUAAAAUUCAUGCAACCCAUAUGAGCUGACGAGACCAGCACCGCCAGAGGCGCUAGUGUAUUUUACUCAUAUUAUGGUAAAUUUAUUUGAAAGUGUUUGCUGUGAGUUUUGACAGAUGGAUCCAGCCACGGCGAAAUUUCAACUUCUUCUUCUAUUCGAAAAUGUAUUGACGUUUAAUUUUUUGCUGCAGGAGUGAAUGAAACAAAGCAACAGUGUUUUGAAAUUUGAUAUUCGCAAAAUUUUCGGAACUUAUAAAGUUUGCUUUUAUUUAAACACGUUUCCCUAAUUUAAUAGUUAAUAUCCAAAUACCUAUCUAUAGUUUAUAGUUAAACUAAAAAAAUCUCAUCGAAGGCACCCAAAAACCAUCUGCCUCUCAGUGACGAUCAAUGCCGUCCAGCCGCAAGUUCGACCAGUUCAUCGGAUUUUACACGUAACAUCGGAAGCAUUCUGAAGAUUAACGUCUGUAUCAUAUCAAAAUGGGAAAUUUGAAAUAACAAUGUCCGGACUUAUUGGGUCAUUUAGAACGAUGUGUCUGAUCAGCACCUCCUGUAGUUGGUCUGGCAUCGUCGUAGAAACAUCGUGUUCACAGAGAGAAGCUCAUAUGUGCCCCCUUGUUGAUUGAAAUAAUUCAUACGAUUUCUCGUGGAAAACAACGGGCGCUUUCUGAACCCCAAGAGAUAUUUUCCAGCACCUUCUGGAGAGCGACUACAUCGGUGAGCCGGUGAACACGACCCAAAAGAAAAAAUCGACAUUGUCCUCGUCGCCACCAUCGCCAAAUACCUUAAUGCGCUGCGCUUACUGGCAGACGAAAUUGAGUAUGCGGAGGAAUAUUUGGUGUGGAUGCAUCCUGGAAACAAUACUCGGAGGCAAUCCUGCAAACAACCAGUAGGAUACGUAUUUCGACCUCAACAGUAAGGCCGUCUUCAGUGUCUCGUACUUGACUCAACUUGGAAUUGAAUGGAAUUGUACGAACUCGUCUUAUGACAAGUAAAGACAUUCCACUAAAAUCUCAGAAUAAUUUUCUUAUCACUACUUCGAAUUCUACCAGGAA